Molecule: non-coding RNA, 26 nt
Filed under: Homo sapiens (human)
Lineage: Eukaryota; Metazoa; Chordata; Mammalia; Primates; Hominidae
Source: RNAcentral
UGCGUUCACCGUCCCCUCGAUGGCAC